Molecule: ribosomal RNA, 200 nt
Filed under: uncultured bacterium
Lineage: Bacteria
Description: partial 16S ribosomal RNA
Rfam family: Bacterial small subunit ribosomal RNA
Source: RNAcentral
AGAGUUUGAUCAUGGCUCAGAUUGAACGCUGGCGGCAUGCCUAAUACAUGCAAGUCGAACGCUUUUGGGGUUUCGGCUCCAAGGGAGUGGCGCACGGGUGAGUAGCGCGUGGGAACCUGCCCUGUUGUGGGGGAUAACCGAGGGAAACUUCGGCUAAUACCGCAUGCGCCCGGGGAAACCCGGGGAAAGAUUUAUCGCAA